RNAcentral lists this ribosomal RNA (727 nucleotides) under uncultured bacterium. Its description in RNAcentral is "bacterial SSU rRNA". It matches the Rfam family "Bacterial small subunit ribosomal RNA", at positions 74 to 816 of the family's 1533-position model. The record is from RNAcentral.
GUUUCUUCGGAAAUGGAUUAGCGGCGAACGGGUGAGGAACACGUGAAGAAUCUGCCCUCCACUUUGGGAUAACACAGGGAAACCUGUGCUAAUACCGAAUAUUGAAACAUAAGUGGCAUCACUGAGUUUUGAAAGAAUUUCGGUGGAGGAUGACUUCGCGGCCUAUCAGCUAGUUGGUGAGGUAAUGGCUCACCAAGGCAACGACGGGUAGCCGGCCUGAGAGGGCGACCGGCCACACUGGGACUGAGACACGGCCCAGACUCCUACGGGAGGCAGCAGUGGGGAAUAUUGGGCAAUGGAGGAAACUCUGACCCAGCGACGCCGCGUGCGGGAUGAAGGCCUUCGGGUUGUAAACCGCUUUCAGUAGGGAAGAAGCGGAAGUGACGGUACCUACAAAAGAAGCACCGGCUAACUAUGUGCCAGCAGCCGCGGUAAUACAUAGGGUGCAAGCGUUGUCCGGAAUUAUUGGGCGUAAAGAGCUCGUAGGUGGUUCGUUACGUCGGAUGUGAAAAUCUGGGGCUCAACCCCAGACCUGCAUCCGAUACGGUCGAGCUAGAGUUUGGUAGGGGAGACUGGAAUUCCUGGUGUAGCGGUGGAAUGCGCAGAUAUCAGGAGGAACACCAAUGGCGAAGGCAGGUCUCUGGGCCAAUACUGACACUGAGGAGCGAAGCGUGGGGAGCGAACAGGAUUAGAUACCCUGGUAGUCCACGCCGUAACCGGUGGGCGC